Molecule: ribosomal RNA, 300 nt
Filed under: uncultured Chitinophaga sp.
Lineage: Bacteria; Pseudomonadati; Bacteroidota; Chitinophagia; Chitinophagales; Chitinophagaceae
Description: bacterial SSU rRNA
Rfam family: Bacterial small subunit ribosomal RNA
Source: RNAcentral
GGCUAAGUGAGGGCCAGGGGCGUCGGUAAUAGGGAGGUGGGAAGCGGUGUCCGGAUUGACUGGGCGUAAAGGGGGCGUAGGUGGAUAUUUAAGUGGGAUGUGAAAUACUCGGGCUUAACCGGAGUGCUGCAUUCCAAACUGGAUAUCUAGAGUGCAGGAGAGGAAAGUAGAAUUCCUAGUGUAGCGGUGAAAUGCGUAGAGAUUAGGAAGAAUACCAGUGGCGAAGGCGACUUUCUGGACUGUAACUGACACUGAGGCUCGAAAGCGUGGGGAGCAAACAGGAUUAGAUACCCGAGUAUC